This 253-nucleotide ribosomal RNA is filed under the name uncultured bacterium. RNAcentral's name for it is "partial 16S ribosomal RNA". It matches the Rfam family "Bacterial small subunit ribosomal RNA", at positions 524 to 776 of the family's 1533-position model. The record is from RNAcentral.
UACGUAGGGUGCGAGCGUUAAUCGGAAUUACUGGGCGUAAAGCGUGCGCAGGCGGUCGUGCAAGACAGGUGUGAAAUCCCCGGGCUUAACCUGGGAACUGCACUUGUGACUGCACGGCUGGAGUACGGCAGAGGGGGAUGGAAUUCCGCGUGUAGCAGUGAAAUGCGUAGAUAUCGCUUGGAACGCCAACGGUGAAAACAGCUCGCUGGGGGUGUGCUGACGCUGAGACACGAAAGCCAGGGGAGCGAACGGG